This 495-nucleotide ribosomal RNA is filed under the name uncultured bacterium. Its description in RNAcentral is "partial 16S ribosomal RNA". It matches the Rfam family "Bacterial small subunit ribosomal RNA", at positions 28 to 507 of the family's 1533-position model. The record is from RNAcentral.
GACGAACGCUGGCGGCGUGCCUAAUACAUGCAGGUAGAACGCUGAAGGAGGAGCUUGCUUCUCUGGAUGAGUUGCGAACGGGUGAGUAACGCGUAGGUAACCUGCCUGGUAGCGGGGGAUAACUAUUGGAAACGAUAGCUAAUACCGCAUAAGAGUAGAUGUUGCAUGACAUUUGCUUAAAAGGUGCAAUUGCAUCACUACCAGAUGGACCUGCGUUGUAUUAGCUAGUUGGUGAGGUAACGGCUCACCAAGGCAACGAUACAUAGCCGACCUGAGAGGGUGAUCGGCCACACUGGGACUGAGACACGGCCCAGACUCCUACGGGAGGCAGCAGUAGGGAAUCUUCGGCAAUGGACGGAAGUCUGACCGAGCAACGCCGCGUGAGUGAAGAAGGUUUUCGGAUCGUAAAGCUCUGUUGUAAGAGAAGAACGAGUGUGAGAGUGGAAAGUUCACACUGUGACGGUAUCUUACCAGAAAGGGACGGCUAACUACGUG